CGGGACUGUAAAUGCCAGCGGCGCAGGUGUCCUGUCAGGAGUUGUGGCGGUGCGCGGGGCGGUGGUGUUCUGUGUCUGUUUGGGGUGCUGCUGUUGUGAGGUCCUGGACACUUCAUCUUCUCAGGACAAAACCCGAAGUCUUCCUUGAAAUGCUUGCAGACAGCAGGUGAGGGAGGAAUCGUUCUUGGCACCUCGUGGCAAGGAGCUGAAGGACAGAGGUGAAGGAUUUUCUGUUCAUGGAUAAACACAAGCAGCAACAAGCCUGUGUUUCUGAAUGGCCUAGGACCUGCUCUUCCCAGAGAUAGGAAAACCCUGACAGUGUUCAAGAGCUCAGACAGGUAUUUGUGAUCUGGACCCUGCAGGUUGUCUCCUUCCAAUUCUUGUCAAUGGAGAGUCCUGAGACACUGAACUUAUUUCAUUUCUAACCACAGCCCAGCAGAUCCCACACUUUGCUCUGGGCUGGCUGGGCUGCUCUGCAGAUGAUCUUGCGAUGUUAUGACAGUACAGAGAGCAGUUAUUCCAAGUGCUUGCCAAUCACCAGACUGCUGCCAGUCUGUGUCAAAUGAAGCAUCCCAGGCCCUGUCACAUUAAAUCCAGCAGCUCUUUCAUUUGGAGCAGAACAGUGUGUUUAUUUGUGUUCCCUCCCCUCCUUUUGGGAUGCCACACUCAAUCAUCUCAGGGGUUUGGCCUGCCUAUAACCACAGCGAGUCUCAGCACACCUUAAAGGGCCCCUCAUUUUGCGGCAAGCAAUGCUGUUGAGUUCUUCGCUUGGUGUUAUUUUGGAAAGAGUUGGGUAUAAGUAAGGUGGAAAGCAUGAAAUAUUGUUAUUAUAGAGAGCAUAGUUUCAGAUGAGUCCUGUGACCACCCUUGACAUUCACGCCAGUUCAAGGGCAGGGUGUCCCAGGCGGAUGAAUCACACAGCUGCUGUACCCUGUUCUAGAGAGAUGCAGAACAGAAGAUGCAGGGUAGUGGCUCAUCUGCUUGCACCAGUCAAGGCUGUGCAGCACCUCCAUUUCCGUGCCUUCAGAAUGGGAGGGAUGAGGGGAAGGGUAGUCUCUGCGAAGGGAAGAUGCAGCCAGGUGGCCUGCUGUGACCAUAUGGAGGGAUGGAAAUGAGAAUGCUGGAUCGUGUGGCUUCAGAGGAGGAUACAGUGUCUGCUUGGUCUGUCCGCAAGCAUGAGGGUACCGAGCUGAAAUUUUCUGAUGCAGUAUUGUGUGCUCCCACUGUUUCUCCUGAGCAAUCAGUGCUCCUGUUUCCUGCAACAUCUGUGCAACACCACCAACCAGGAGAGUGCUGCAGCAGUCACCUGGAAAGGGUGUGAUCGUUUGCAGCAUGGCUUUUCUGGCUGUGUUCAUACUUGGGCAGUGGUGACCUCGUGGGUAAAAUUGUCCAAUUCAUACAGAGGCUGCAGGUGGAAGGUGCAGAGAAAGGUUUGGUAAGAACGGCGAAAAGGAGGGAAAAAAAUGAUGAGCUGUCCGGAAACAUGAGUGCAGCGAGGAACCAAGGUUCUUCUUCCAUCAGUUCAGAUUCCCCUGUCUCUGUGGGAAAGCUGCAUGAAUCAAAUCUUUGUGUGUAGAGGUUGUGAAGACUGGUCAGCUUCUGUUGCCUUCAUAGCUUGGGAGAAAAGAGUGUUUAUUCAUUUAUAAUGCAGCUGCAUAAGAGGUGAUUCAUUUUUUGUCAUUAUUUGGUGUUUAAUUUGCCUUCUGUAGGAUAUGAAUUCAGAUGUUAUGAUGGUUUUACUCCUUUACAAGAAUUAAAAGCUCUUCCAGUGAUUUGACAGAAUGAAGUCUGCGAGGCAAAUUAACUGAGUUUCCUCAUUGCUGUUGUCACUUCGCACGCUGGCUGAGAGUUCUUGAAUCCAGCCCUGUUCCUUUACAAAAAACAUAUUCCUUACCUUUCUUGCAAGGAGCCCCAAGGCUGAUGAAAAGUGAGAGAGGUUUUAGCUGUGAUCUUUUUUCCACUUGAAGAGUGGCUUUUUUCUGCGGCUGUUUCAUGAGAUAGUUUCUGGUUAUUUCAUGGUUAUUCUGCAAAUUCUUGGGGAGAGUUUUCCAAUGGAUGAGUGGACAUUUCUUUAAGGAAGAAGGAUGCCUACUGAUUUUAAGGACGGUCUUUUAACAAAACCUUACACCAAUCCCCAUCUGAGACAUCACUUCCCUACCAGUGUCUCUUUAAGAAAUUCUAGUGAUAAAUCUAGCUUCAUUAUCCAACAUAUCUAACAAUCAGUGACAUCCUUUCCUUUCAUUAUAUGGGAUAGAGAUUGACUCAUUGGGUGACUCUGCUUUCAGUUGAAGCCACAUACAGUAACUGGAAACCCAGGGAGACUCUGCAGUCUCCAUGGAGACAGCACACUUACAACUUAAUGUGAUCAACAGAUGCUGCAAUAAUCUUGAAAGAUGGAGAAAAUGUUUCAAACCGAGUGUUGUUUAUGGUGGUACAGUGGAUGUUCAAAUUUGCUCUGUUAUGACUGGGCUCUGUAUAAACGCACAGUCUUUUGAAAACACACAGAUGUGUGCUGAGGGAGAAAUCUCCCAUGGGGAUAAAGCAGCUAGUAACUAGGCCACUGCUUUGCUGUUCCCAGCACCUGCCCCUGUGGGAAGCCACCUUCACUUCACUUCUAUUCCAGUUUAUCUGGAAACUGGGGCAGUGCUAGUCAUCCAGUUAACAGCCACAGUACCUUUUGUGCUCUGGGGUGGGUGACUGUAAUGAGAUGAAACUAGUAAGAUUCUGAUGAAUUAGCCUAUAAUCUCAGUGAAUGGAAUAGGAAUCUCCCUCUGUGCUGUAUGACCUAAUGCGGCAGCUGACGUCAGCGUGUCCACAGCUGAUUUAUAUGUGUUUCAUUCUCCUGCAAAACUUCUAAAGAGUGAUCAUUUCCCGCUGGAUUUUACAAGCUGUUGUAAAGAAAUGGCUUGUUUUCCACCUACCC
Long non-coding RNA from Numida meleagris (helmeted guineafowl), 2923 nucleotides. RefSeq lists it as uncharacterized. The record is from RefSeq and is a predicted model, not a curated record. The transcript is spliced from 3 exons. NCBI's taxonomy places the organism in Eukaryota, Metazoa, Chordata, Aves, Galliformes, Numididae.